AACGAACGCUGGCGGCGUGGAUUAGGCAUGCAAGUCGAACGAUCCUUGUGCUUUGCACAAGGAUAGUGCGAAAGGGUGAGUAACACGUGGGUAAUUUACCCUUGAGACGGGGAUAACCCCGCGAAAGUGGGGCUAAUACCGGGUAAAACCGAUUGGCCGCAUGGUAGAUCGGAUAAAGGUUCCCGCAAGGGUUCCGCUCGAGGAUGAGCCCGCGUCCUAUUAGCUAGUUGGUGGGGUAAUGGCCCACCAAGGCGACGAUGGGUAGCCGGCCUGAGAGGGUGGUCGGCCACACUGGGACUGAGACACUGCCCAGACUCCUACGGGAGGCUGCAGUCGAGAAUCUUCCGCAAUGGGCGAAAGCCUGACGGAGCGACGCCGCGUGGGGGAUGAAGGCUCUCGGGUCGUAAACCCCUGUCAGCUCGGAAGAAAGUCUGCUACCCUGUAGACUGACGGUACGGGCAGAGGAAGCUCCGGCUAAAUCCGUG
This 485-nucleotide ribosomal RNA is filed under the name uncultured bacterium. Its description in RNAcentral is "bacterial SSU rRNA". It matches the Rfam family "Bacterial small subunit ribosomal RNA", at positions 29 to 507 of the family's 1533-position model. The record is from RNAcentral.